AGGGAGUUCAGUCAUGGGUGGGGACAGCUCAGGCUCCAGUCCUGGAAGAUGAGGCUGUCUUCCCCAAGCAAAGUUCUUGGCAGCCAGGGCCUGGACAGACAAGGAGAUUCAGGGCCCCAGGACAAGUAGGGCCUGUCCUCACCUGUCUUCGAAUCCGUUCUGUCCUCCUUGGUACAGGGGACAGCACAGGCAAGGAGCCGGAGGCUCAGACGGACAGGGAGCUGGAGCCCCUCAGCGAGAGUCUUGCUAAGGCACCUAGGCUGGACUUGAACUCGUGAUCCUCCCGCCUCAGCCUCCAGAAGUGCUGGGAUCACCGGUGUCCGCCACCUCGCCCAGUGUGCAAGGGUGGCACUGACUCGAAUGCUCCCUGGCAGCACCUUGGGGCACUCAAAGGAGGCCUGCUGCCUUUCCACACCUUUCCUCCCCCCCUUCCUGCUUCCUGUCCUCUCUCUCCCUCUUAUCCACUCCCUCCCAGCUGUCCGCCAUGUAUUUGGAGUUAGUCCUUGUGACUUUAAAACAAAAGGCCAAAGUGGCCUUUAAUAAAACAGAUAUAACAUUAGUGCUAAAACAGAGGAGAGAGAAGCAGGCAGAUGUCUGGCGAGGGCACUGAAGGAGUGGCAGUGACGUCCCGCUGAAGGAUGGUGUGAGCACUCAUGACCAACCUUUCCAGGAGUCUCUGGAGGCCCCUCGGCCCCAGGAGGGCCCUGUUGGUGGCACCCAAGUGCAACUCUGAGGCUGGGAUGGGGAACAGUCCAGGGGACUUCCGAAUCAUCCUGUCCACCUUCCACUUCCAGAUGGGGAAACUGAGGCCCAUGGUCAGGGCAUGUAGGAGCGAGUAAAUGGCAAAGCUGUGAACUGUUGGGACCACCAGAGGUUCUGGUUGUGCCUGCGUCCGUGGGGCUCAUGAAGCCAGUGUCAUCCACAAAGAAUGCAUUCUUUCCUGGGUACUGUUCUGUUGCCGUGCAGCAUGCUUUGGUGAGAACUAAUAUGUUAGCAACUGAGCUGGGUGUGGUGGAGCACACCUAUAAUCCCAGCAUUCAAGAGGCUGAGGCAGGAGAAUGGACAUGGAGGCCAGCCUGGGCUACAUACACAGUGAGACUCUGUCUCAAAAAACAAAACAAAACUUGAAAUGUCAGUGUCUAGAGACAUGGGGUCAUGUCGCCCACAGAGUGACAGGCUGCCAUUGCUGGUGACAACCUGCCAGUCUAGCCACUCUCUUCUGGGACUGACAUGUAGGGCACUGUCCCCUCCUGCUGUCCCUGUGCCCAGUGGGACUCAG
Molecule: long non-coding RNA, 1279 nt
Filed under: Heterocephalus glaber (naked mole-rat)
Lineage: Eukaryota; Metazoa; Chordata; Mammalia; Rodentia; Bathyergidae
Description: lncRNA (ENSHGLG00100035382.1)
Source: RNAcentral